This 449-nucleotide ribosomal RNA is filed under the name uncultured bacterium. RNAcentral's name for it is "partial 16S ribosomal RNA". It matches the Rfam family "Bacterial small subunit ribosomal RNA", at positions 29 to 523 of the family's 1533-position model. The record is from RNAcentral.
AACGAACGCUGGCGGCAUACCUAACACAUGCAAGUCGAACGAGAUCUUCGGGUCUAGUGGCGCACGGGUGCGUAACGCGUGGGAAUCUGCCCUUUGGUUCGGAAUAACAGUUGGAAACGACUGCUAAUACCGGACGAUGACGAAAGUCCAAAGAUUUAUUGCCAGAGGAUGAGCCCGCGUAGGAUUAGCUAGUUGGUGUGGUGAAGGCGCACCAAGGCGACGAUCCUUAGCUGGUCUGAGAGGAUGAUCAGCCACACUGGGACGGAGACACGGCCCAGACUCCUACUGAGGGCAGCAGUGGGGAAUAUUGGACAAUGGGCGAAAGCCUGAGCCAGCAAUGCCGCGUGAGUGAUGAAGGCCUUAGAGUUGUAAAACUCUUUUACCCGCGAUGAUAAUGACAGUACCGGGAGAAUAAGCUCCGGCUAACUCCGUGCCAGCCGCCGCCGUAA